RNAcentral lists this ribosomal RNA (247 nucleotides) under uncultured bacterium. Its description in RNAcentral is "partial 16S ribosomal RNA". It matches the Rfam family "Bacterial small subunit ribosomal RNA", at positions 523 to 769 of the family's 1533-position model. The record is from RNAcentral.
AUACGGAGGGGGCUAGCGUUGUUCGGAAUUACUGGGCGUAAAGCGCGCGUAGGCGGCUUUGUAAGUUAGAGGUGAAAGCCCAGAGCUCAACUUUGGAAUAGCCUUUAAAACUGCAUCGCUUGAACACGGGAGAGGUGAGUGGAAUUCCGAGUGUAGAGGUGAAAUUCGUAGAUAUUCGGAAGAACACCAGUGGCGAAGGCGGCUCACUGGACCGUUGUUGACGCUGAGGUGCGAAAGCGUGGGGAGC